CUCUGCCCCCAGGUCUGAUGGGCUUUCCACCCUGUUUCUGAUUUCCUAAUGUUAUUAUGUACACAGACAGGUCUGGGAGAUAGGAUGAGAGUUGGGAUAACUUUCAGACUCUGAGCAUCUGCUCAACAGGUAUGCAUAAAACCUGUUCUGUGUGACAGACACUCUGAGGUGUUACAAAACAAUUAGAAAUAGAGGCAGAUAUGGUGGCUCAGACCUAAAGUUCUAGAACUCAAGACUGAAGCAGGAGGAUCUCAAGUUCUGGGCCAGCCUGGGCUACAGAGACCUGUCUCAACCCCCAGCUCACUGUUCCCGAAAAAAAGAAACUCCAUGAAAGCACCUCCGGCUCAGAACGUAACUGACCAGCCCUGUAUCUUCCACAUAUGCCUUGAUCCUUUAAAAUAUAGGGACCCUUUCCCCUCCCUUAUUUUAGCCGAGUAUUACUGUGCCCUCUGGCAUUUCAAAACUCUCCUUCUGUUCAGGCAUCUGUUUACACUCUGCCACUUCUCUUCUGGAUUUCCAGCUUUGGCAUUCACUCCUAAAUCAGCCUCUUGGGCUGCUUUCGACAGCUCUCUCCUCAGCUCACAAAGCCUGCUCCUUUCCUGCUCCUCGAUGUCAUUUUUAACUCUCUUCUCUUUCUUCUUCUUUUUUUGCAUGCCUUUCUAUCCUACCAUCCCAACCUUACUGCCUACUGCCUCCUGAGGUCACUUCCUCUUGCUUUUGUUAGGUUUUGACAAGCCUAUGACACUCACAAAGUAGUCUGUGACAAUUGUCCCGAGCUAAGAAUAGCUUCAGAGAAGCAGAGUCACUACCAGAGACAGGAGUCCUACAGAUAUGACUCCAUCCAGAACCCUAUCCCACAUGUGACGCAGAGGGGCAAGUUGUUCCUGUAUGGGUCUCAAUAUGGUAAUGCCAGCUGCUUCUGACAUCAUGGAGGAGGGACCCUGUCAGGUUGCCAAGGCAACCAAGCAAUUUAUGACAUCAGAGGCUUGAAGUGUUUGGUUCUCUGGAGGGGUGGGAGGUGCUGGGAAGAUUCAAGUUCCUGUCAGUUGCAGUAAAUGGGAAUUAUACUUUUUCAUCUCUUUUCUGUGUUCUCCUGGCUUGGCAGUAAAACAGGAAGAGGCUGACAGAAUGAACGCUGAUUUUCACCGUUUCCUUUGGCCAGACAUUUCUUUAACUCGUGUGUUUACUGAACCUGGUUUCUCCUUCCAUCAUCGGCCUCAUCUUUUUAUCCGUCUAAGCUCCUGUGGUCUGGAAAAACAAUGAUGGAUUUAAACCCACGAUAAACUCUCCAAUCCAUUAUCCACCUUUACCAUUCUUUAGAUGGAAUGAGCACGGCCCUCGCACAAGAUAGGUUUUCUGAGAAUAAUAAAACCUGUCUCAUAAAGAAUGUUGCUGAAUCCAAAGAGAAAAAUACCAGGAUCCCAGAAGGAAAAUGAGCUAAAAAGUGAAGAAAAAGCCACGGGGCUACCAGGUAGGGUGGAGCUCAGAGUCCUAGAGAAUAUCCCCUUUCAGAAUUAAAGUUGACAGUUAGCUAUGGCACUGACAGGUGAAGGAGUUGUAUGACCCUGGAAGAUCAUUAAAUUGAUUUCUUAGCCU
Mastomys coucha (southern multimammate mouse) is the source of this 1596-nucleotide long non-coding RNA. RefSeq lists it as uncharacterized. The record is from RefSeq and is a predicted model, not a curated record. NCBI's taxonomy places the organism in Eukaryota, Metazoa, Chordata, Mammalia, Rodentia, Muridae. The transcript has 2 exons.